GGUGAACGCUGGCGGCGUGCUUGACACAUGCAAGUCGAACGGUAUGUGGCAACACAUAGAGUGGCGAACGGGUGAGUAACACGUGGGAACGUAUCUUUUGCAGGGGGAUAACUGACCGAAAGGACAGCUAAUACCGCAUAAGUCCGAGAGGAGAAAGGUGCAACAGCAUCGGCAGAAGAGCGGCCCGCGGUCCAUCAGCUAGUUGGUGAGGUAAGGGCUUACCAAGGCGACGACGGAUAGCCGGCGUGAGAGCGUGGCCGGCCACAAGGACACUGAGAUACGGGUCCUACUCCUACGGGAGGCAGCAGUGCGGAAUUUUAGAUAAUGGAGGGAACUCUGAUCUAGCGACGCCGCGUGCAGGAAGAAGGUCUUCGGAUUGUAAACUGCU
This 388-nucleotide ribosomal RNA is filed under the name uncultured bacterium. Its description in RNAcentral is "bacterial SSU rRNA". It matches the Rfam family "Bacterial small subunit ribosomal RNA", at positions 28 to 434 of the family's 1533-position model. The record is from RNAcentral.